GUCUAUGACCAUACCACCUGAACACACCUGAUCCUGUCUGAUCUCAGAAGCUAAGCAGGGUUGCACCUGGUUAGUACUUGGAUGGGAGCCCUUAAAAAUGAGAAAGAAAGCAAGAAUAUAUG
This 122-nucleotide ribosomal RNA is filed under the name Octodon degus (degu). The record is from RNAcentral. Lineage: Eukaryota; Metazoa; Chordata; Mammalia; Rodentia; Octodontidae.